GCAAGUCGAGGGGUAACAGGGGAGAUUGCGUUUGCUUACGAACGGCGCACGGGUGCGUAACGCGUAUACAAUCUGCCUUAUACUGGGGGAUAGCCUUUGGAAACGAAGAUUAAUACCCCAUAGUAAGUGAAGAUGGCAUCAUCAUCACUUUAAAGAUUACGGUAUAAGAUGAGUAUGCGUCCUAUUAGUUUGUUGGUAAGGUAACGGCUUACCAAGACUACGAUAGGUAGGUGCCCUGAGAGGGGGAUC
Molecule: ribosomal RNA, 249 nt
Filed under: uncultured bacterium
Lineage: Bacteria
Description: partial 16S ribosomal RNA
Rfam family: Bacterial small subunit ribosomal RNA
Source: RNAcentral